This 862-nucleotide ribosomal RNA is filed under the name Cyanotrama gypsea. Its description in RNAcentral is "Neoantrodiella gypsea partial large subunit ribosomal RNA". It matches the Rfam family "Eukaryotic large subunit ribosomal RNA", at positions 66 to 915 of the family's 3401-position model. The record is from RNAcentral. Lineage: Eukaryota; Fungi; Basidiomycota; Agaricomycetes; Hymenochaetales.
UAACAAGGAUUCCCCUAGUAACUGCGAGUGAAGCGGGAAGAGCUCAAAUUUAAAAGCUGGUAGCUUUGUUACCCGCGUUGUAAUCUGGAGAAGCGUUUUCCGCGUCGGACCGUGUACAAGUCUCUUGGAACAGAGCGUCAUAGAGGGUGAGAAUCCCGUCCAUGACACGGACUGCCGAUGCUUUGUGAUACGCUCUCGAAGAGUCGAGUUGUUUGGGAAUGCAGCUCAAAAUGGGUGGUAAAUUCCAUCUAAAGCUAAAUAUUGGCGAGAGACCGAUAGCGAACAAGUACCGUGAGGGAAAGAUGAAAAGCACUUUGGAAAGAGAGUUAAACAGUACGUGAAAUUGUUGAAAGGGAAACGCUUGGAGUCAGUCGCGUCUUCCAGGACUCAGCCUUGCCUUCGGGUUUGGUGUACUUCCUGUUAGACGGGUCAACAUCGAUUUUGGUCGGCGGAUAAAGGGAAAGGGAAUGUGGCACCUUCGGGUGUGUUAUAGCCUUUUCUCGUAUACGUCGUCUGGGAUCGAGGACCGCAGCGCGCCUACUAGGCCGGGGGUUCGCCCCACGUACCGCGCUUAGGAUGUUGACAUAAUGGCUUUAAGCGACCCGUCUUGAAACACGGACCAAGGAGUCUAACAUGCUCGCGAGUGUUAGGGUGGAAAACCCUUGCGCGUAAUGAAAGUGAAAGUUGGGACCUCUUUGAGGGCACCGACGCCCGGCCCAGAAGUUUUCUGACGGUGCUGCGGUAGAGCGCGUAUGUUGGGACCCGAAAGAUGGUGAACUAUGCCUGAAUAGGGCGAAGCCAGAGGAAACUCUGGUGGAGGCUCGUAGCGAUUCUGACGUGCAAAUCGAUCGUCAAAUUUGGG